CGGCGAAAUCGCUCCUGCCAGGCAGAGGGGCGGGGCCAGCCUUCUUUCCAACAGACCUCAAAGGAGGGAGGGACCUUGGAGAACUACAUAUCCCACAAGCCACCCAAGGCCGACUCUUGGCGGAGCAGUUUGGAAAAGCUAGCUCGGUUUCUUCGGGCUUCCAGGCCCUUCCAGCAGAGCCUUCCCUGCAGCUGAUUGGCUCCCAAUGGAGACCCAGGGAAGCUACUAUUUUGGAGCAUGAAGUCUUGAGCUGCUUGGGUCUCACUUCAAGAGCCUGGAAAAGCUACAACUCUGCGCCUCGCUUUCCCCCGAAAACUGUUUGUGCGGUAAGUGAAGUUCUCCCUUACCAACUCCAUUAUUAUUAUUAUUAUUAUUAUUAUUAUUAUUAUUAUUAUUAUUAUUAUUAUUAUUAUUAUGACACAGCAAACAAGAUAGAUAUGCUGCAUUUCGUAUCACAAAACCACAAGUCGAACACUUCCCAAGUGUCUAGGACUGUGUGAUGUAUUUUCGGAUGAUGUGUGCAGAUCCCAGUAGGGUGGCCUUUUGCAGUUGGCAGAUCGUGAUUUCGUCAAUGUCUAUUGUUUCCAAAUGCCGGCUGAGAUCUUUCGGCACGGCACCCAGUGUGCCCAUCACCACCAGGACCGCCUGCACUGGUUUCUGUCAGAGUCUUUGAAGUUCAAUCUUGAGGUCCUGAUAGCGGCUGAGUUUUUCCUGUUGUUUUUCAUCAAUGCGACUGUCACCUGGGAUGGCGACAUCAAUGAUCCAGACCUUUUUCCUUUCCACAACUGUGAUGUCUGGUGUGUUGUGUUCCAGAACUUUGUCAGUCUGGAUUCGGAAGUCCCACAGUAUCUUUGUGUCAUUUUCCAAGACUUUUGCAGGUUUGUGAUCCCACCAGUUCUUUGCUGCUGGGAGGUGGUACUUGAGGCAUAAGUUCCAAUGAAUCAUUUGGGCCACACAGUUGUGCCUCUGUUUGUAGUCUGUCUGUGCGAUUUUCUUACAGCAGCUGAGGAGAUGAUCAAUGGUUUUGUCGGUUUCCUUGCACAGUCUGCAUUUUGGGUCAUCAGCUGCUGUAAGAAAAUCGCACAGACAGACUACAAACAGAGGCACAACUAUGUGGCCCAAAUGAUUCAUUGGAACUUAUGCCUCAAGCACCACCUCCCAGCAGCAAAGAACUGGUGGGAUCACAAACCUGCAAAAGUAUUGGAAAAUGAGCAUGCAAAGAUACUGUGGGACUUCCGAAUCGAGACUGACAAAGUUCUGGAACACAACACACCAGACAUCACAGUUGUGGAAAAGAAAAAGGUUUGGAUCAUUGAUGUUGCCAUCCCAGGUGACAGUCGCAUUGACAAAAAACAACAGGAAAAACUCAGCCGCUAUCAGGACCUCAAGAUUGAACUUCAAAGACUCUGGCAGAAACCAGUGCAGGUGGUCCCGGUGGUGAUGGGCACACUGGGUGCCGUGCCAAAAUAUCUCAGCCGGCAUUUGGAAACAAUCGGCAUUGACAAAAUUACGAUCUGCCAACUGCAAAAGGCCACCCUGCUGGGAUCUGCGAGCAUCAUCCGAAAAUACAUCACACAGUCCUAGACACUUGGGAAGUGUCCGACUUGUGAUUUUGUGAUAUGAAAUGCAGCAUGUCUAUCUUGUUUGCUGUGUCAUAAUAAAAUAAUAAUAAUAAUAAUAAUAAUAAUAAUAAUAAUAAUAAUAGGAAAACCUUAUUUGUAUUCCAC
This 1727-nucleotide long non-coding RNA is filed under the name Anolis carolinensis (green anole). RNAcentral's name for it is "lncRNA (ENSACAG00000040416.1)". Lineage: Eukaryota; Metazoa; Chordata; Lepidosauria; Squamata; Anolidae. The record is from RNAcentral.